RNAcentral lists this ribosomal RNA (493 nucleotides) under uncultured bacterium. RNAcentral's name for it is "partial 16S ribosomal RNA". It matches the Rfam family "Bacterial small subunit ribosomal RNA", at positions 28 to 507 of the family's 1533-position model. The record is from RNAcentral.
GACGAACGCUGGCGGCGUGCUUAACACAUGCAAGUCGAACGGUGAAGCGCCUUCCUUUUUGGUGGGUGUGGAUGAGUGGCGAACGGGUGAGUAACACGUGAGUAACCUGCCCCCUUCUUCUGGAUAACCGCAUGAAAGUGUGGCUAAUACGGGAUAUUCUGGGUCUGUCGCAUGAUGGGUCUGGGAAAGAUAUUGUUUCGGUGGGGGAUGGGCUCGCGGCCUAUCAGCUUGUUGGUGGGGUGAUGGCCUACCAAGGCGGUGACGGGUAGCCGGCCUGAGAGGGUGGACGGUCACACUGGGACUGAGACACGGCCCAGACUCCUACGAGAGGCAGCAGUGGGAAUAUUGCACAAUGGGCGCAAGCCUGAUGCAGCGACGCCGCGUGAGGGAUGGAGGCCUUCGGGUUGUGAACCUCUUUCGCCAGUGAAGCAGGCCUGCCUCGUUUGUGGGUGGGUUGACGGUAGCUGGAUAAGAAGCGCCGGCUAACUACGUG